RNAcentral lists this ribosomal RNA (492 nucleotides) under uncultured bacterium. RNAcentral's name for it is "partial 16S ribosomal RNA". It matches the Rfam family "Bacterial small subunit ribosomal RNA", at positions 29 to 507 of the family's 1533-position model. The record is from RNAcentral.
AGUGAACGCUGGCGGUAGGCCUAACACAUGCAAGUCGAACGGCAGCACAGUAAGAGCUUGCUCUUACGGGUGGCGAGUGGCGGACGGGUGAGGAAUACAUCGGAAUCUACUUUUUCGUGGGGGAUAGCGUAGGGAAACUUACGCUAAUACCGCAUACGACCUACGGGUGAAAGCAGGGGAUCUUCGGACCUUGCGCGAUUGAAUGAGCCGAUGUCGGAUUAGCUAGUUGGCGGGGUAAAGGCCCACCAAGGCGACGAUCCGUAGCUGGUCUGAGAGGAUGAUCAGCCACACUGGAACUGAGACACGGUCCAGACUCCUACGGGAGGCAGCAGUGGGGAAUAUGGGACAAUGGGCGCAAGCCUGAUCCAGCCAUACCGCGUGGGUGAAGAAGGCCUUCGGGUUGUAAAGCCCUUUUGUUGGGAAAGAAAAGCAGCAGGUUAAUACCCCGCUGUUCUGACGGUACCCAAAGAAUAAGCACCGGCUAACUUCGUG